Molecule: long non-coding RNA, 1005 nt
Filed under: Monodelphis domestica (gray short-tailed opossum)
Lineage: Eukaryota; Metazoa; Chordata; Mammalia; Didelphimorphia; Didelphidae
Description: lncRNA (ENSMODG00000037103.1)
Source: RNAcentral
UCAUAGCCCCCUACAUCAUAGGGUUGUUGUAAAGAUCAAAUGAGAUAUAUUCCCUCCCUCCUUCCUUCUUUCCUCCCUCCUUCCUUCCUUCCUUCCUUCCUUCCUUCCUUCCUUCCUUCCUUCCUUCCUUCCUUCCUUCCUCUAUCCUUUUCUCCCUCCCUUCCUCCCUUCCUUCUUUCCUUCCUUCUUUCUUCCUUCCUUCAUUCCCUCUCUGUCAUUCUAGAUCUAGUGCUUAGCACAUAGAAGGUGCUUUAAAAUGUCUAUUGCUUGAUGGAAAUUCUCUUCUGAUCUGGGAUGGCCAGAGAAGGCUAAACAAAAAAUGUGGAACUUGAGGGUGAGCCUUGAAGGAUAGUUAAGCUUUGGACAGAAAGAAAGGAAACAAGCAUUAAGUGCCUGCUAUGUUCUAGGCAUUGUGGUAAGUGCUUUAUAAUAUUUCCUCGUUUAAUCCUUACAAAGACACUGAUCUCCAUUUAUUAUUAAUAUUAUUAUGACGAUCUCCAUUUUAAAGUCAAGGAAACUGAGGUAAAUUGAGGUUAAACGACUUGCCCUGAGUCACACAGAGAGUCAAUGUCUGAGGCGAGAUUUGAGCUCAGAUCUUUUUGACUUUAGGCUCAGCGCUCUGGUCAAUUUGCCACCUGGGCAUUCCAUUGGAAGGAAACACGAAAAGCAAAGUCAUAGAAAUGGGAAUAUGUCAGGACUAGUGAUGUGGCCUGGAAGGCUGAAUCUAGGUGGAGAGAGAAGGUAGAGAAGCAAUCUGGAAAGGGCAGAGUAUAUUUCACCUGGUUUUGGAUGCCAUCUAAACAUUGGGACAGUUAUUGGUAUUCAUGCUGGAGACAGAAAGGGUCUACCCAGAGAUAAAGUUACUGAGCAGUCUUUGGGCAUUUUCUUUUCUUUUAAUUGGCACUGAAAGGCCAGAGCAGGGCCUCUGCUAACAACGAGCACUGGGCCUUUUGCCUUGAACUGAGGAACUCUGGAAUAAAUUAGUUGAUUGUAUAAUGCUUUUCA